CCUACCCUUCCCUCCGCUUUUCCUCUCACACACCGGCCGCCGCGGAGGGAGAGAGGAGCCGAAAAACCUCGGAGGCGGAGGGAGAGGGGACUGGGGAGGAGAUGCAGAUCUUCGUGACGACGCUGACGGGGAAGACGAUCACGCUCGAGGUGGAGAGCAGCGACACCGUCGACAAUGUCAAGGCCAAGAUCCAGGACAAGGAAGGCAUCCCGCCAGACCAGCAAAGGUUAAUUUUUGCUGGAAAGCAGCUGGAAGAUGGACGGACAUUAGCUGACUACAACAUUCAAAAAGAGUCAACACUUCAUUUGGUCCUGAGGCUCAGGGGUGGGACUAUGAUCAAGGUGAAGACACUCACUGGUAAGGAGAUCGAGAUCGACAUCGAGCCUACCGACACAAUUGAUAGGAUCAAGGAGCGCGUCGAGGAAAAAGAGGGCAUCCCCCCUGUUCAGCAGAGGCUCAUUUAUGCUGGAAAGCAACUUGCUGACGAUAAAACUGCUAAAGAUUACAACAUUGAAGGUGGUUCAGUGCUCCAUCUUGUGCUUGCUCUGAGGGGUGGUCACUAGAUACAGUUUCAUUUCAACUAGGAAUAUAUUCACAAGGAGAGCAGCUUUGCUUAUGCUAUUUUCGUCCUACCAUUGUACUUGGCUUAGAAUCAUGCACUUGACAUGAUUGGAGUAGCAAGUUAUUGGUAUGUAGAACGAAGCAAGACUGAUGUAAUAGGGUGCGAGGGGAAGGGAGUUAUUUGGAGAGUGAGUACCAAUAGAGACUCGCCGAGUGCUCCUGGACAACCCAUUUAAAGAAUAUAUUAAAAUAAAUAUGCAUGCUCCUCUUUAUUCUUUUGAAUCUAUUGCUUUCCAAAAGACGCAGAUGCCUAUCUUGGUAACGUUUUCAUUCAGAAAACAGUCUCUAUGCCUGUUGGUGUAAAAUAAUAUGUUGAGCUACACAUUACCAUUCA
This is an RNA transcript of Triticum aestivum (bread wheat), 955 nucleotides long. It is a transcript of the gene named ubiquitin-NEDD8-like protein RUB1, with no coding region annotated. Lineage: Eukaryota; Viridiplantae; Streptophyta; Magnoliopsida; Poales; Poaceae. The transcript is spliced from 4 exons. The record is from RefSeq and is a predicted model, not a curated record.